UCAAGUAGCGCAAUACCUACCACAACGAUUACUUUAAACAAAUGUUGUUGUAUGUUUCAAUCUAUCAUAACGGUUACUUUAAACAACCAUUGUUGUAUGUAUUUUAAUAAAAAAAUGCAGCAGUAGAAUAACAACAACAACAAUAACAAGAACAAGAAGAACAAAAACAAGAACAACAAGAACAAUAAGAAAAAGAACAAAAAUAAAAACAACAAUAAUCAUAACAAGAAGAAGAACAACAAU
RNAcentral lists this long non-coding RNA (243 nucleotides) under Lathyrus oleraceus (garden pea). RNAcentral's name for it is "Pisum sativum (pea) long non-coding RNA (PSAT_LNC007502)". Lineage: Eukaryota; Viridiplantae; Streptophyta; Magnoliopsida; Fabales; Fabaceae. The record is from RNAcentral.